UGCUCAGGAUGUUCGAUUAGAGGAUAGACAAUCUUAUGAAAGCAGGACUCCAUCAGUUCCAUUGCCUCAUAGAUCCAUUGGUGAUGAUUCUAUUACUCUUGGUCCUCAGGGUGGUCUUGCUAGGGGAAUGUCCAUUAGAGGGCCACCAGCUAUGUCUAGUGGUCCUUUGGGUGAUAUUUCUCCUGGUUCAGGAGACUCUAGAAGGUUGACAGCCGGUUUGAAUGGUUAUAGUUCUGUACCGGAUAGGACAACUUACAGUUCAAGAGAGGAAAUCAUGCCAAGGUACAUCCCCGAGAGAUUUGGUGGUCCAUCUGCCUAUGACCAGUCAAGUACACAAGACCGAAAUCUGCAGUAUGUAAACAGGGAUGUAAGAACCCCAGAUCGUGGCUUUGAUCGAUCUCUUGCCACCUCUCCACCUGCACGGGCACACGGACCAGCUGUCUCACAAAAUGUUCCUCCAGAGAAGGUAU
This 470-nucleotide long non-coding RNA is filed under the name Vitis vinifera (wine grape). RNAcentral describes it as "long non-coding RNA (VVIN_LNC005098)". Lineage: Eukaryota; Viridiplantae; Streptophyta; Magnoliopsida; Vitales; Vitaceae. The record is from RNAcentral.